GUCUCAGUUCGGAUUGAAGGCUGAAAUUCGCCUUCCAUGAAGCCGGAAUUGCUAGUAAUGGCAGGUCAGCAUACUGCCGUGAAUACGUUCCCGGGCCUUGUACACACCGCCCGUCACACCAUGAGAGUUGGGAAUACCCGAAGCCUGUGAGCUAACUUUAGGGAGGCAGCAGUCGAAGGUAGAAUCAAUGAUUGGGGUGAAGUCGUAACAAGGUACC
Molecule: ribosomal RNA, 217 nt
Filed under: uncultured bacterium
Lineage: Bacteria
Description: partial 16S ribosomal RNA
Rfam family: Bacterial small subunit ribosomal RNA
Source: RNAcentral